Molecule: non-coding RNA, 72 nt
Organism: Cordylochernes scorpioides
Lineage: Eukaryota; Metazoa; Arthropoda; Arachnida; Pseudoscorpiones; Chernetidae
Source: the annotation of a GenBank genome assembly
GCCGAAAUAGCUCAGUUGGAAGAGCGUUAGACUGAAGAUCUGAAGGUCCCUGGUUUGAUCCUGGGUCCGGCA